RNAcentral lists this ribosomal RNA (442 nucleotides) under uncultured bacterium. RNAcentral's name for it is "partial 16S ribosomal RNA". It matches the Rfam family "Bacterial small subunit ribosomal RNA", at positions 338 to 795 of the family's 1533-position model. The record is from RNAcentral.
CCUACGGGGUGCAGCAGUGGGGAAUAUUGGGCAAUGGGCGCAAGCCUGACCCAGCAACGCCGCGUGAAGGAAGAAGGCUUUCGGGUUGUAAACUUCUUUUAAGAGGGAAGAGCAGAAGACGGUACCUCCUGAAUAAGCCACGGCUAACUACGUGCCACCAGCCGCGUUAAUACGUAGGUGGCAAGCGUGUUCCGGAUUUACUGGUUGUAAAGGGCGUGUAGCCGGGCUGACAAGUCAGAUGUGAAAUUCCGGGGCUCAACCCCGGACCUGCAUUUGAAACGGUUGGUAGGGAGUAUCGGAGAGGCAGGCGGAAUUCCUAGUGUAGCGGUGAAAUGCGUAGAUAUGAGGAGGAACACCAGUGGCGAAGGCGGCCUGCUGGACGACAACUGACGGUGAGGCGCGAAAGCGUGGGGAGCAAACAGGAUUAGAUACCCUAGUAGUC